Ictidomys tridecemlineatus (thirteen-lined ground squirrel) is the source of this 72-nucleotide non-coding RNA. Lineage: Eukaryota; Metazoa; Chordata; Mammalia; Rodentia; Sciuridae. The record is from Rfam.
GGGGCUGUAGCUCAGUGGCAGAGCACUUGCCUUGCACGUGUGAGGCCCUGGGUUCCAUCCUCGGCACCACCU